AAAACCUCAGCUCCCCUAUUUCUCUCUUCGGAGAAAAAGAAGGAAGUUGGAUUUGAGCAUUUCCACUCUUGACCAAUUUUUUUUUUUUUUUGGUGUAGAGGGGCGGAUUGCUUGAAAUUGAGGUUCGGCCGGACGGUUAAUUCCCUGGGCUACAAGCAUUUCAUACUUAAUCCCGUUAAACGGAUUAUUUCCUUUGCUGCAGCCAACUAAACAGGUAAUCGUCAGUGUCUGACUGAUGCAGGAAAAGUUGAGGAGGAUUUCGGUCCGCACUCUCUUUUAA
Molecule: unclassified non-coding RNA, 280 nt
Filed under: uncultured Mortierella
Lineage: Eukaryota; Fungi; Mortierellomycota; Mortierellomycetes; Mortierellales; Mortierellaceae
Description: sequence contains ITS2
Source: RNAcentral